Long non-coding RNA from Daphnia pulex (common water flea), 534 nucleotides. RefSeq lists it as uncharacterized. NCBI's taxonomy places the organism in Eukaryota, Metazoa, Arthropoda, Branchiopoda, Diplostraca, Daphniidae. The transcript has 2 exons. The record is from RefSeq and is a predicted model, not a curated record.
CGACCCACUCUCUUUCUCUCUCGUUUUCUCUCCCAAUGUCCCGUCUUGUUUUUACUGCCGUCGGGCUGGAGACGGUUGGCGCAUGCGCUCACGAAGUUUGGAACGAAUCGGUGCAACGACCUUAUCGCACCCCCAGGAUGAGUCAUAUCGUCUCGACAUCCGGCAGUAUAAGAUAUUUCUUGAUUCAAACUCACAAGGGUCGGGACUGAGAGGCGGACGUGUGGUCUUAACUAUUUGACAUUGAGAUAACAAUAUAAUGCGUUAUCUUUGCAUAUAGACUCUAGCACGUGUGUGCGUCAUUUGGUGACUCGUCAUCGCCACUUUAGUUUCGCUUAAAUGCUAAUAAACGGUUGCUGGUGUUUGUUGUAGCAGCAAAACUCGAAAAUCAACAUUGAAUAGAAUUUAUUUGUCAUAAAGAAAAAAAGAAAAGCGUUUUCUUUGUGAGAGGAGAGAGAUGUAGAGAGGUCAAUGAUGAUGAGGCUCCUAAUAUAGUUAAACAAACAUGUUCGAACCAUUAAUGUAACAAUUGCGUGA